Felis catus (domestic cat) is the source of this 1786-nucleotide long non-coding RNA. RefSeq lists it as uncharacterized. The transcript is spliced from 3 exons. The record is from RefSeq and is a predicted model, not a curated record. NCBI's taxonomy places the organism in Eukaryota, Metazoa, Chordata, Mammalia, Carnivora, Felidae.
GCCGAAGUCAUACAGCUACUUAGGGGCAAACCUAGGAUUUGAAUCCAGGUCUGACUUCAGAAGACUCUGGUUUCCAAUAUAGCAUAAUUUAUCACUUGUGAAAUUCAGGUGGCACUGAGAGUGACCGUACAAUUUUUUAUCCUAUUUUUCUUUUACUAAUUCAAGUUUACAGGCCAUGUCAUUUCCAGAUUACCAGCUUCAGAAAGUUCUUAAGUCAUUGAAGUCCCCAGGAUUCAAAGACAGUGCCUAUCAAAAAUGGGGCCCACCUUGCAUUGGGUAGAGGAGGAGGAGGAGACUGGCAGGUGAUCCUGCCUCAUUUCCUCAAACUCUGUUUAAUACAAACGCCAAAGUUUGACAUUUCUGACCGCUUUACUUUCUUUGGCAACUUCAACUCUGACGAGAGAGUAAGAAAUAUGUCUCCCCUUGACAGGAACAAGGUGUGCAGUGAAGGACCUCGGGUGCUGUGCUGCAUUUUGACAGUUCCUUAGAAGAAAGCACUCCUGCCUGUUCUAUUCAAUCCCAGUCCAGUAUUUGAGUCUGCACGAUGCCACCACUUGGAGUCUCCUGUGCUGGCACCUACAUUGCAAAGCUCUGUGGUAUCUAUACUGAAGUGGACCAGUAGGCUACCUAUGAGCAGAAAGGUGAUCCUGGGCCACACUGAAAAACACUGGGGCAGGAAUAAGCCAGCAAGUGUAUGAGAUACAUCUGGUGUGAAUGGUAAUUCAUCUAGUUUCUUAAACUAGUAUUAUGGGCUAAAUUGUGACCCCCACCCCCGAAUUUAUACAUUGAAGUCCUCACCCCCAAUACCUCAGAAUGUGACCGCAUUUGGAGUUAGGGCCUUUAAGGAGGCAUUUAAAUGAAAAUAAGGUCAUUGGGGUGGACCCUGAUCCAAUAUGACUGGUGACCUUAUAGGGAGAGAAGAUUAGGACACGCACACCAAGGAAAGAGAAUGUGAAGACACAGUACGUAGACAGCCAUCUGCAAACCAAGGAGAGGAGACCUCAGGAUUUAGGAAUUUAAGAAAGAUAAUACAGUGCACGUGUUAUGGCUGCAUAACAUCCUGUAGCAUCUACAACAGUAUCCUGCAAUCAAAUGUGCUAAUGUGUCUGUAGUGAGAUGUAUAUGUUGCAUAAAUAAAGCCUAUAAGUAGCCAUGUAUCAUCUUAAGACAGAUUUUUGUGCCAAAUGAAUUUGUUUCAGGUCAAGUUUUGCUGCCAAAUGAGUUAUAAAUACAAUCUUUGGUAUUCAGAGCUUUUAGGGCUUGCUUUGAAAUGGUGGACCUUUAGUAUCCCUGCCUUACAGAUGAAGAAACUGAGACUCAAGGAGAUAAAACACCUUAUCCACUAUUAUUAACCCAUGGGAGGUGGGACUAGGCUACCGGCCCAGGCAGCCUGGCUUCAGAGUCUGUGCCCUUCACGUCCACCUGGCUGCACCCUUCGGUACCACCUGCCUGCCAGCAUUGGACCUGCCACAGAAUUUCACACCAAGCUCGUGGCCUUGCUGUGAGGACCAGACACAGAGAGUGCAGGUAGAGUUCUGUGAUGGGUUGAAUUGUCUUUCUCCCCCCAAAUUCAUAUGUUGAAGUCCUAACCCUAGUACCUCAGAAUUUAACCUUAUAUGGAGACAGGGUCUUUGCAGAUAUAAUUAGUUGAAUUACAAUGAGGCUAUUAAGAUGGGCCCUAAUUCAAUAUGGCUGGUGUCCUUUUUUAAAAAAGAAAUUUGGGGGCACCUGGGUGGCUCAGUCCAUUGAGCAUCUGACUCUUGAUUUUGGCUCGGGUUGUGAUCCC